Molecule: long non-coding RNA, 967 nt
Filed under: Zostera marina
Lineage: Eukaryota; Viridiplantae; Streptophyta; Magnoliopsida; Alismatales; Zosteraceae
Description: long non-coding RNA (ZMAR_LNC002983)
Source: RNAcentral
CGCCCAAUUCCAGACCCAUCCGUUCAUCAUCGAGUCCUCCGAUCGUCGCCUCCGCUCACUGCCUUUCGUCUCCGAUCGUCGUCGUUAGUUCGCCGGCCGGUUAAUCUCAUCGUCCCUGUUUACGAUAUCUGAUUUGACUCCGUAUCAACACUAAUCUCAGAUUGUUUCCGUCUGGUAAAUUCCGACCAGAAAUUGUCUCCGUUUGGGAUAAUUCCGGCAGAAAUUCUAUCUCCAUCUUCACUGUCUACGAUACCGGAUUUGAUCCCGUAUCAACUGGUGCUUUCAAUCUAUUGUUUACUCAUACUUUCAGGAAAAUGACAACUGCUCCACAUAACUUACCGGAAGGCAUGGAAGCAACUGUCAAGAGACUCCAGACAUUUCAGAUGUCCCAAACAAGUGAACUGUCCGAUCUGAGGAAGUCACUGAAUCACAACGUACUGGAAUUAGGGAAGCAAAUCUCUGAUUUAACUUCACUCAUUACCAACAAGCAAGAGAAUCUACAUAAUAAACAGACAAGCGAAUCAUCUUCUGCCCAAAUGAAUAUGAGCAGUGAACAGGAGGAAAUUACUAUUGAUCCAGAGCGACCUGCUUAUGUUGUGAGUAUGUAUGGUAAUGCAGAUUAUACUCCGUCUAAACACAUCAAGUUUGAUAUGCCUAAGUUUAAUGGGAAGGACCCUGAGGCCUGGAUCUUUAUGGCCCGGAGGUUUUUCAUUUUUCAUAACACCCCUGAAGAUCAGAAACUCAUUAUAGCAUCAUUCAACAUGGUCGAUGUUGCUCUGAAAUGGUUUUUGUGGAUGGAGUCCAGCAACUAUUUAACCACUUGGCUGGCAUUCGUCAAAUCAUUACUAAAAAAAUUCAACCCCACCACUUACACAAUUCCUGGUGGAAGAUUAAGCAAGAUUUCUCAGAUAACUACAGUUGCUGAAUUUGUGACAAGGUUUGAAGACUAUUCUUCAAAAGUGGUUGG